UUGGACAUGACUGAGCGACUAAGCAAGCAAGCAGGCAAAGCAGACUGAGAGAGACUGCGAAGGGCAGAUGCUGACACACCAGGAUAGAUAGUUUGGCUUUCCCGAGGAGAUCACUGUAAGUGGUAGGGUCAAUCAAACCGGAAACCAUGGUGGAGACCUGGAGCUACCCAACAUCAUCUGGAACCGUGGACAAGCACGAACUGCUUAUCCUCAGAGUUCUCUAGCUAGAAAGAUGAGAUGGGGAAAUGGAUCACAAUGUACUCAGAUAUCUGGGCUAGUUGGCCUCAAGCGUCUCACCGUGGCUCAUUUCUCUUUCCCUCUCACUGGCACACUCCUCCUGGUGGGUUCAUCUGUUGCUGAGGCUUUAACUCUCAGGCUGACCAUUCCCUCCGGAAGUGGAGCCCCUUUCCUGCCAGCUGCCCGUGGAGCCUCUUUAGUGGCAUCAUCUGCAUCACCAUAAAGAUGACGACUCUUGACACGGCUGAGUGCUUCCUGUGGGCCCCACUGUCCUGGCCCUCUGCGUGGGCACUUGCCUCCAUGGAAUCUCCCACUCCUGUGACUGAGGUAGUGCCACUUCCCCCGGGGCAGAGACAGUUACGGGACCUGCCCAAGGUCACCACAGCUGUGAUCCCAGUAGCUAUCCAUUAAAGAUGGUGGAGACACAGGAUAGAAGAAACAGGGAUUCCUGAGUUACCAUUGGGAAACAGCCAAACAGCCAGGAACACCUGGUCUCUAUCAUCAGAGUCUUUUCCAACGAGUCAGCUCUGCAUCAGGUG
Molecule: long non-coding RNA, 776 nt
Organism: Odocoileus virginianus texanus
Lineage: Eukaryota; Metazoa; Chordata; Mammalia; Artiodactyla; Cervidae
Source: RefSeq, a predicted model, not a curated record